RNAcentral lists this transfer RNA (69 nucleotides) under Glossogobius aureus (golden tank goby). Its description in RNAcentral is "tRNA-Ala". It matches the Rfam family "tRNA". Rfam says of the family: Transfer RNA (tRNA) molecules are approximately 80 nucleotides in length. The record is from RNAcentral. Lineage: Eukaryota; Metazoa; Chordata; Actinopteri; Gobiiformes; Gobiidae.
AAGGCUUUAGCUUAAUUAAAGUGUCUGUUUUGCAUACAGAAGAUGUAGGUUAGUGUCCUGCAAGUCUUA